GUCCCCGUAGUUUAACGGAUAAAACGACUCUCUCCUAAAGAGUAGCUCCAGGUUCGAUUCCCGGCGGGGACACCA
This 75-nucleotide transfer RNA is filed under the name Candidatus Saccharimonadota bacterium. RNAcentral describes it as "tRNA-Arg". It matches the Rfam family "tRNA". From Rfam's summary of the family: Transfer RNA (tRNA) molecules are approximately 80 nucleotides in length. Their secondary structure includes four short double-helical elements and three loops (D, anti-codon, and T loops). Lineage: Bacteria; Candidatus Saccharimonadota. RNAcentral also lists the same sequence under 1 other name. The record is from RNAcentral.